UACAGAGGUCUCAAGCGUUGUUCGGAUUCAUUGGGCGUAAAGGGUGCGUAGGCGGCGUGGUAAGUCGGGUGUGAAAUCUCGGAGCUUAACUCCGAAACUGCAUUCGAUACUGCCGUGCUUGAGGACUGGAGAGGAGACUGGAAUUCAUGGUGUAGCAGUGAAAUGCGUAGAGAUCAUGAGGAAGACCAGUGGCGAAGGCGGGUCUCUGGACAGUUCCUGACACUGAGACACGAAGGCCAGGGGAGCAAACGGG
This 253-nucleotide ribosomal RNA is filed under the name uncultured bacterium. RNAcentral's name for it is "partial 16S ribosomal RNA". It matches the Rfam family "Bacterial small subunit ribosomal RNA", at positions 524 to 776 of the family's 1533-position model. The record is from RNAcentral.